Molecule: non-coding RNA, 817 nt
Organism: Punica granatum (pomegranate)
Lineage: Eukaryota; Viridiplantae; Streptophyta; Magnoliopsida; Myrtales; Lythraceae
Source: RefSeq, a predicted model, not a curated record
CUCUCUCGCUGGUGGAUCAAUGGAUCAUCUUCCGACUUCCACCAUUUCCUGUUCGAGAAUAAUCACGUUUCUCUCCUUCUAUACAUGACAUUCCCCUGCAGAGGACCCCAGCAGCCAUGGCUUCCCACAAGAGAGCUUAGCUCGCACUCGCUGCCUUCCGCAGCUUCACCUCGAAGCUCGCUCCAGCAAGAACUCUCGCCCCACAGUCCAUUUCAAGAAUGCCCCGACUGGGGCCUGCGAUCUUGGCUCACAAUACUGCUAAAGUCCCGAUCUUGUCCUCUCUAACUUUCCACAGCCACAGUGUCCGUUCACCCUCGAUCCACCCAUCUUACCACUGCCUCGAAUCACAGCAACAAUCGAUCGGGCAGAGCAGGAAGCUCGAAGAUGUUGACGAGGAGAAGCCGAGAAGAGACAGAAGGAGGAGGAAAACUCGAAGCUGUUGUGAAACUUGCUAUGGUCGAAGGAGAAGAGGAAGCUUGAAGUAGAGAGGUGAAGAGAAGACUAACUAAACUGAAGAGUGAAGAUUAGGAUUUCAAUUCAGGCUUUCAGUUUUAGCCUUCAGAGUUCAGAAUCGAUUGAUUCCAGUUCAUUUGGUCGGAUUUUCCUUUAAAAAAUUCCGAACCGAUGCAACUGGUUGGUUCACAUGGGUUUGAUGGAUUUGUUUAAAAACCAGCUGGAUUUUUUGGUUCAAUUAUGCAUUUUUGGUUUUCAAAGUAACCCGAUCGGACACAAGUCCAGUUUCUGUUCCGGUCCGAUCCGUCGAAUUACUUGAUUCGAUCUGAUUCUAAUAACACUGAUCCAUAUAUAAUAAAUCAAA